Molecule: ribosomal RNA, 253 nt
Filed under: uncultured bacterium
Lineage: Bacteria
Description: partial 16S ribosomal RNA
Rfam family: Bacterial small subunit ribosomal RNA
Source: RNAcentral
UACGUAGGGUGCAAGCGUUGUUCGGAAUCAUUGGGCGUAAAGCGUACGUAGGUGAACUUGUAAGCAAGGUGUGAAAUCCCACAGCUUAACUGUGGAAUUGCGCUUUGAACUGCAAGUGUAGAGGGUGGCAGAGGCAGGUGGAAUUCCAGGUGUAGAGGUGAAAUUCGUAGAUAUCUGGAGGAACACUCGUGGCGAAGGCGGCCUGCUGGGCCAUUCCUGACACUGAGGUACGAAAGCGUGGGGAGCAAACAGG